Cephus cinctus (wheat stem sawfly) is the source of this 2457-nucleotide long non-coding RNA. RefSeq lists it as uncharacterized. NCBI's taxonomy places the organism in Eukaryota, Metazoa, Arthropoda, Insecta, Hymenoptera, Cephidae. The transcript has 5 exons. The record is from RefSeq and is a predicted model, not a curated record.
AUGAGGCAGCAGCGGGUUGUAAAAGGUGCCUUCGAGUAGGUACUCCAGGAGGAGGGUAGCCAUGGGGCGCUGGACUGUCACUAGGAGAGAGAGAGAGAGAGAGAGAGAGAGAGAGACAAGCACAAGACAGCGAAUCUGUCGAUACCGUGACGUGACCCCUGGGUUUUUUUUACGCCCACUCCAUUAACAUCUCAUUAUAAACACUUGGCUGGCUCGUCUUCGUUCAACAAAAUAUCUUAAGUUCAAAGUUCCAUUAAAAUAUCUGCCAGGAUGACGGGAUCGACUUGGUCCUUUCAACCGCGAAGCUCAAUCUUGAUUUUCAGGUUUCAUCCUCAUCGGAAUCAUUAAAGGAAAUUCCUGAUGAGGAUGGCAUUCUCCAAAUACGUGAACGAGAAAUACGUUUUAUCCUAUUAAUAUGAUACCAAUUGUUAUUAAUUUUCGUAGGAUAUAUUUCUAACAUUCUAAAUAAGUGAAAUAAGCAAUUUUACAAAUUGAUGCACGUAUGUGACGCUGGUAGCAAACGGGUUAAAUUCCUGGAGAAGAACUUCCAAGCGAGAGCUAUAUAUAUAUACAGACACACACCCAGAUAUAUAUAUAAAAUGCAGAAUGACUAUCCAGCCUUGAAUAUCAAUAGCAAUAAGAAGUUUACGAUCUUGCCGCAAGAGCCUUUUGAAUAUUGAGAACGCUACGUGAACACCUGCGCAAAUUGAAUGCGUUACGUUCCUUGGAAAUUGCUCGGGCUCCUUGCAACAUAGUUAUUUCCAAGGCCUGCAAGUCUUUAUGAGCAUCAUUUCACACGUGGAAAUCUAUACUAGGAACGUUCAUGGGACGUCAUUUUAGCGAGUUUCUACGACGGGGUUAAACUAAUUUCCACGGAAGCGGCAUUUACCUUCGACAUUUCCGUCGAUAUGGGUCUUCUGGAGUAUAGCGCGCAGAGAACAUACAGUGGAUUAUAUAAUACAGCAACUCUCCGCCACUGGAUGAAAAAGAAAUGACGAGGAGACGCGCUUUCAACGUCACGAUUUAUUAGCGCCAACGUGACGGACAUUAAUUUUGUAUUACGAUGGCAGAACGCCGAGUUUACGGUGGGCCUACCCUGUGAUUUCCGUCACGAACGGUACUAAAGAACUUUAUUAGCAGUGUCUCGAGAUUGGCCUUCCAUGACGACCUGGAGAUCCUGCUGGUCGGGACGAUAUGACGAAUUGAGAUUGAAGUGUCCAUUGGACACAGGAGAUAAAGAUCCGUGGGACAAUUUUCUUUAUUACAUAUUUUUCGUCCUUAAAAUUGUAUGAGGGACGUUAAGGACACCCUGGAUUCUUGAUACUUAGGAUAGCAUUGUUAUGUCAAUUAUUCAAUGCAAAGCGUUCAUUGACUAUGGGAAUGGAUUGGCUUGAUAAAUUCUUAUAAGAGAGUCUGGUCCCUUCUUCUCUUCUUUCUUGAUCCUGUAAAAUCUCUAAUUGUAAGCACGGCCUUAUUAGAAAUCCCGGUAACGUUUGCGCGUUUUAAUAUUAAUAAAUUUUGUGACUCCUGAAGUGCGGGUUGCUACUCGACGUUACAUAGCUUCAUUAACCGUAACUAUCUGAGCCCAAAGUAUUCCCAGGAGAGUGGAAGGGAACGAGAGGGUAAGGGAAGGAAACACGAUAGUAAUCUGUACAAAAGGAUAAAAUCUUCUAAGAUAGUACGGUCUGGCGUAAUAGAAAUUAUUAGAAAAAUAUUUAUAUGCAAGGGUUGAUCACGUAGGAAUGUUUGGAAUUAUUCAGGCUGACCCAGAGGACGCUGACACUGUCCGAGUGUAACACCAAUUAAAUUGAGUUAGACUGGAUUGGGACACAAUGCAUAUUUAUAUAUAAAGUGUAAACAGUCCCAAAAGCUGACGGGAUAGAAAGAACGUUACCGAUGUUGUCGUACAGGGUAGCUCGACGAUCGAAUGUCUCCGUAGCAGCGCUUGUCAAAGUGACGUUAUCAAGGGUGUCUCAAUUCAUUCGUUCUGAUUUAUUCGAACUAAGUGCGUGUACCGUUAAGAUUAAUUUCUCUCUCUCUCUCUCUCUCUCUCUCUCUCUCUCUCUUUUUCAGUCGCUGUAUAAGAAUGAAAGUUGGAGAGUUGGUACCAAAAGAUUCAGAAAGAUUCUGAUAGCCCAGAAGAAGGUAUCGCAGCAGGGAAGGAAACCAGUAAGGCACGAGCCAGUCUAGAGGGAGAAACGAAAAGUCUAGGGGAUGCAGAGGGGAGGAGACGUGCUUUGUUCACCUGACGUCGUGAUGGAAUGUGUCCCGUAACUUUUGCCAAGGAAAUUGGAGAAGUAUUGUGAUGCAGGGUGGAAGCUGUCAGGCGGGAAAACCGAAGAGACUUCAAAACCCUUUGAAAAGGCUGGUUCGAUUAUAGACUGAGCAUCUAGGAUAUCUAUGUACAGGCGAUGCUCAUGAUACUGGCACAUGGUUAUGUACUGAUAAGAGUGUGCC